AUAAGCGGAGGAAAAGAAACCAACAGGGAUUGCCUCAGUAACGGCGAGUGAAGCGGCAACAGCUCAAAUUUGAAAUCUGGCUUCUUUCAGGGCCCGAGUUGUAAUUUGUAGAGGAUGCCUUCGGGUGUGGCCCCGGCCUAAGUUCCUUGGAACAGGACGUCACAGAGGGUGAGAAUCCCGUAUGUGGCUGGAGGUCUAUACCCAUGUGAAGCUCCUUCGACGAGUCGAGUUGUUUGGGAAUGCAGCUCAAAAUGGGUGGUAAGUUUCAUCUAAAGCUAAAUACUGGCGGGAGACCGAUAGCGCACAAGUAGAGUGAUCGAAAGAUGAAAAGCACUUUGGAAAGAGAGUUAAAAAGUACGUGAAAUUGUUGAAAGGGAAGCGCUUGCGACCAGACUUGCCCUCGGUUGAUCAACCGGUGUUCUUCACCGGUGCACUCGGCUGAGGUCAGGCCAGCAUCAGUUCAGGCGGUUGGAGAAAGACCUUGGGAAUGUGGCUCCCUCCGGGGAGUGUUAUAGCCCAUGGUGUCAUGCGACCAGCCUGGACUGAGGACCGCGCUUCGUGCUAGGAUGCUGGCGUAAUGGUCGUAAGCGACCCGUCUUGAAACACGGACCAAGGAGUCUAACAUCUAUGCGAGUGUUUGGGUGUAAAACCCAUGCGCGUAAUGAAAGUGAACGGAGGUGGGAACCCUUGAGGGUGCACCAUCGACCGAUCCUGAUGUCUUCGGAUGGAUUUGAGUAAGAGCAUAGCUGUUGGGACCCGAAAGAUGGUGAACUAUGCCUGAAUAGGGUGAAGCCAGAGGAAACUCUGGUGGAGGCUCGCAGCGGUUCUGACGUGCAAAUCGAUCGUCAAAUUUGGGUAUAGGGGCGAAAGACUAAUCGA
Molecule: ribosomal RNA, 879 nt
Filed under: Glutinoglossum heptaseptatum
Lineage: Eukaryota; Fungi; Ascomycota; Geoglossomycetes; Geoglossales; Geoglossaceae
Description: eukaryotic LSU rRNA
Rfam family: Eukaryotic large subunit ribosomal RNA
Source: RNAcentral